ACACGACUACAUUAGAUACCCGUGUAGUCCUAGCCGUAAACGAUACUCGCUAGGUGUCGGCCACGGUGCGACCGUUGUCGGUGCCGUAGGGAAGCCGUGAAGCGAGCCACCUGGGAAGUACGGCCGCAAGGCUGAAACUUAAAGGAAUUGGCGGGGAGCACCACAACGGGUGGAGCUUGCGGUUUAAUUGGAUUCAACGCCGGAAAUCUUACCGGGACCGACAGCAACAUGAAGGCCAGGCUGAAGACUCUGCAUGACUAGCUG
RNAcentral lists this ribosomal RNA (264 nucleotides) under uncultured archaeon. RNAcentral describes it as "partial 16S ribosomal RNA". It matches the Rfam family "Archaeal small subunit ribosomal RNA", at positions 719 to 982 of the family's 1478-position model. The record is from RNAcentral.